RNAcentral lists this ribosomal RNA (465 nucleotides) under uncultured Klebsiella sp. RNAcentral's name for it is "bacterial SSU rRNA". It matches the Rfam family "Bacterial small subunit ribosomal RNA", at positions 338 to 795 of the family's 1533-position model. Lineage: Bacteria; Pseudomonadati; Pseudomonadota; Gammaproteobacteria; Enterobacterales; Enterobacteriaceae. The record is from RNAcentral.
CCUACGGGCGGCAGCAGUGGGGAAUAUUGCACAAUGGGCGCAAGCCUGAUGCAGCCAUGCCGCGUGUGUGAAGAAGGCCUUCGGGUUGUAAAGCACUUUCAGCGGGGAGGAAGGCGGUGAGGUUAAUAACCUCAUCGAUUGACGUUACCCGCAGAAGAAGCACCGGCUAACUCCGUGCCAGCAGCCGCGGUAAUACGGAGGGUGCAAGCGUUAAUCGGAAUUACUGGGCGUAAAGCGCACGCAGGCGGUCUGUCAAGUCGGAUGUGAAAUCCCCGGGCUCAACCUGGGAACUGCAUUCGAAACUGGUAGGCUAGAGUCUUGUAGAGGGGGGUAGAAUUCCAGGUGUAGCGGUGAAAUGCGUAGAGAUCUGGAGGAAUACCGGUGGCGAAGGCGGCCCCCUGGACAAAGACUGACGCUCAGGUGCGAAAGCGUGGGGAGCAAACAGGAUUAGAUACCCGAGUAGUC